AUUCAGCCCUCUUUCGCCAUCCCUUUCUGUCUACAGACGCAGCUUCAACUUUGCACGGUCGCUGACGAAGGAAACGAGGAGGAGCUCGGCAGCUUUCCAUUAAUGGAGUCCAAGGGGCAGGGCGCGCGCGGCAAAGAGAAGAAGCUGAAACGCAAAGAGGUCCUGGAGAAGAAGAGAGCAGUCGACGAGCUGGUAAGGGCGGCUUCCUCCGAAACCGACCAUCUCGCGUCCUUCCAGGCGUUUCGCCAUUACAACCGCAACGGUGUCUCUGUUUAUUUGGAUUCGGGACGUGGAGAUAGGUUGUCUUCUUCUGUCAAGCAGUAUGUGUACACCCUGCUUAAGGCCAACAUGGAGGGUCCUUUCGGAGCUGAGUGGCCUGUGGAAGAGAAGGUGAAGCGCCGGGAAAUGGUCACUUCCGAGGCGCGCUAUGUAUUUGUUCACGAUGUUGCGAAUGCUGGUGCUGACGGGAUGCCGUCGGUGGCCCAAGUGAGAAAAGAAGUCGCUGAUGGCAUGUCGGAGACCGUAAGCAUUGUUGGGUUUGUUCACUUCCGCUUUCUUGUGGAGGAAGAAAUACCUGUCCUCUACGUGUACGAGAUACAGCUUGAGCCUCGUGUCCAAGGGAAGGGGCUGGGUAAAUUCUUGAUGCAGUUGAUCGAGCUUAUCGCUAGAAAGAAUCGCAUGGGUGCAGUGGUACUUACGGUACAGAAAACAAAUUUGUCAGCUAUGAAGUUCUAUACUAGUAAGCUGAGAUACAUUGUAUCAUCAAUUUCACCAUCAAGAGUCAAUCCAUUGCUGGGCAGUGAGGCAAGCUAUGAAAUUCUUUCCAAAGCAUUUGAACCCGAAGCCAAAGCUGUAUUGGAGGAAGGUGAUUGAAGUGUCCGACAAUGACUGUUGAGCCACCCUCUUAUUUAGGUCAGUUCAGUGACUUAUAUUGGAUCGAUGUAAGCUAUAUAGGAGGAUCACUCAUUUCAUUUGUCAACACUUGAGUUAUAUUGGAAAUGUUAUUUCACUUCACCAGGAUGCAUAUGAUUUAGGCCAGUGGUGCUUAGGAGAAACAAAGGGCGUUAUUGUUUUCUGGCACUGAGGAUAUUGCAAGUUCUUGCUGAAAUUCUGGCGUAGAUCUUAGCCAUGAAGCACAUUUGAAAGGUCUGAGGCCCUUGUUGUAUUCCUGCUUCAUAUUGAAGCUAUUAAGUGACGAGGACAGGGUUCUUCUCAUUUCUGGCUGAAUUAGCUCAUCCAUUGCAUGGUGCUAAAUCUUUCAACAUCUAUUACAGAUGCCAUAAAUUUUAUGUAUCCAACCAGGUGUUGGGAACCGUGUCCAAAUUAUCCUGGAUACAGUUUAUUGAUGUUUCCUGUGCCAUAUUGUACACUAAAUGUAACAGAAUGAACCCUGAAAAUGAUGCUUCUUAUUAUUUGUUGCCUGAUUUAGUCUAGAAACUCUACUUGCAAA
RNA transcript from Syzygium oleosum, 1450 nucleotides. RefSeq lists it as uncharacterized. Lineage: Eukaryota; Viridiplantae; Streptophyta; Magnoliopsida; Myrtales; Myrtaceae. The transcript has 10 exons. The record is from RefSeq and is a predicted model, not a curated record.